Caenorhabditis elegans is the source of this 21-nucleotide non-coding RNA. Lineage: Eukaryota; Metazoa; Nematoda; Chromadorea; Rhabditida; Rhabditidae. The record is from Ensembl.
UUGGAUAGUACAAAAAAUAUU